AUGUUCCAUGUUAGAGAGCAAUUUGGAAUCUGCAAAAUUAAUUUCGUGUCCUGUUUCUUUCAUGUGUUGGAAAAGAGAGGAAGUUUUUUCUUCUUUUUUGACGGCAUUCUUGUGUUCUGCGAUACGUGCAUUUAUUCGUCUGUUUGUUUGUCCAAUGUACGUGGCUGGGCAGACUUUGCAGGGUAUUUCAUAGACCCCUUGGUUUUCCAACUGGAUUUUAUCCUUGGGGUUUCUGAGGAUAUUGGCUAUUUUUUGGUUGGUGCAAAAGGCUGUUUUGAUAUUGUGUUUAUGGAGGAUUUUGCUAAUUUUAUCUGUAGUGCCCUUGAUAUAAGGAAGGAGGGCCAUGCCAUUGUUUUCUUGUUUUCUUUAGACAAGUCAGAACACAAACCCAAACUUUGGCUCAGAUAUGUUGACGACACCUUUGUAAUUUGGCCACACGGGAAGGAAAAACUAGAUAGCUUCCUCACACAUCUCAACAGCCUACACCCCAAAAUACAAUUCACUAUGGAAAUAGAAGCCAACAACCAACUUCCCUUCCUUGACGUCCUAAUCUACAAAAAACCUGAUGGCUCCCUAGGACACACUAUCUACCGGAAAAAAACACACACCAACCGCUACUUACAUGCACAAUCACACCACCACCCUGCACAAAUAAACUCCGUAGCCAAGACUCUCAUCUCCAGAACCAAACGCCUGGCUGACAAAGACCACUUGACAACUGAGUUACAGAAUCUCUCCAAUGUGUUAAUCGCCAAUGGAUACCAGCAAAACAGGGUUACGAAGCUAAUGCAAAAAGAAACACCCCCCAAAAACCAAGACACAGAAGAAAACAAUGGCAUGGCCCUCCUUCCUUAUAUCAAGGGCACUACAGAUAAAAUUAGCAAAAUCCUCCAUAAACACAAUAUCAAAACAGCCUUUUGCACCAACCAAAAAAUAGCCAAUAUCCUCAGAAACCCCAAGGAUAAAAUCCAGUUGGAAAACCAAGGGGUCUAUGAAAUACCCUGCAAAGUCUGCCCAGCCACGUACAUUGGACAAACAAACAGACGAAUAAAUGCACGUAUCGCAGAACACAAGAAUGCCGUCAAAAAAGAAGAAAAAACUUCCUCUCUUUUCCAACACAUGAAAGAAACAGGACACAAAAUUAAUUUUGCAGAUUCCAAAUUGCUCUCUAACAUGGAACAUCACCACAAGAGAAUAAUCAUGGAAGCCAUCGAGAUAGAGAAACACCCUCACAACAUGAACAAGCGUGACGACACAUCCCGCCUGCCAGACAUCUGGAAAUUAGCCCUCCCCACAAAAACCGACACCAGAUCCAGAGGCACACAGAACGCCAUCACCAAUCAACCACACCAGACCCAAACCCAGACCCUCUCCACAGAUAAAUUACAGACACCAUCCAGUAGCCAAACCAUGGUGGCACCUCCGGAUGCUGCACCCCCCUGCAAUCCCUACACAGAUCUGGCUGGCACAGGACACAAAACCACAGCUCGCCCCUAUACACGAAGCCAAGCCAGAGCACAACUAAAUGCAGUACAGCCAUCUUCUCAGAAAAACUCUUCACAAAGUUCAAGAGGUCAAGACACGAAGGCUUUAGCAACUAAUCCACACCUAAUGACCCACCUAAGUGGUACUCAGGAUAUCACUCAAGAAAUCACUCAAGAUAUCCCUCAAGUAAUUAAGGAACAAAAGAAGAAAAGGCACACUAGCCUGGGAACUUCCUCUCUGCCCAGAACAUUGGAGGCUAUACACCACACCCCCUCAACAGUAUUUAUAGGAACUCAAACACUGAGAUCCUGCUCUGUUCCAGUAACAAGAAGCCGAAAGCACCAGCCUGAAGAUGACGAGUGA
This is a long non-coding RNA of Podarcis muralis (Common wall lizard), 1848 nucleotides long. NCBI's taxonomy places the organism in Eukaryota, Metazoa, Chordata, Lepidosauria, Squamata, Lacertidae. The record is from Ensembl.